CCUACGGGGGCAGCAGUGGGGAAUAUUGGACAAUGGGCGAAAGCCUGAUCCAGCCAUGCCGCGUGUGUGAAGAAGGCCUUCGGGUUGUAAAGCACUUUCAGUGGGGAAGAAAGCCUUGGGGCUAAUACCCUCGAGGAAGGACAUCACCCACAGAAGAAGCACCGGCUAACUCCGUGCCAGCAGCCGCGGUAAUACGGAGGGUGCGAGCGUUAAUCGGAAUUACUGGGCGUAAAGCGCGCGUAGGCGGUCUGAUAAGCCGGUUGUGAAAGCCCCGGGCUCAACCUGGGAACGGCAUCCGGAACUGUCAGGCUAGAGUGCAGGAGAGGAAGGUAGAAUUCCCGGUGUAGCGGUGAAAUGCGUAGAGAUCGGGAGGAAUACCAGUGGCGAAGGCGGCCUUCUGGACUGACACUGACGCUGAGGUGCGAAAGCGUGGGUAGCAAACAGGAUUAGAUACCUUGUAGUC
This 463-nucleotide ribosomal RNA is filed under the name Vreelandella stevensii. Its description in RNAcentral is "partial 16S ribosomal RNA". It matches the Rfam family "Bacterial small subunit ribosomal RNA", at positions 338 to 795 of the family's 1533-position model. Lineage: Bacteria; Pseudomonadati; Pseudomonadota; Gammaproteobacteria; Oceanospirillales; Halomonadaceae. The record is from RNAcentral.